Molecule: ribosomal RNA, 522 nt
Filed under: Ptychochromoides katria (katria cichlid)
Lineage: Eukaryota; Metazoa; Chordata; Actinopteri; Cichliformes; Cichlidae
Description: partial 16S ribosomal RNA
Rfam family: Bacterial large subunit ribosomal RNA
Source: RNAcentral
GUACCGCCUGCCCUGUGACCACAUGUUUAACGGCCGCGGUAUUUUGACCGUGCAAAGGUAGCGCAAUCACUUGUCUUUUAAAUGAAGACCUGUAUGAAUGGCACGACGAGGGCUUAACUGUCUCCUUUCUCCAGUCAAUGAAAUUGAUCUCCCCGUGCAGAAGCGGGGAUAUGUACAUAAGACGAGAAGACCCUAUGGAGCUUUAGACACAAGAACAGACCAUGUUAAGCACCCCAAAUAAUGGACAAAACUGAUUGAGCCCUGUUCUAAUGUCUUUGGUUGGGGCGACCGCGGGGAAAUAAAAAACCCCCAUGUGGACUGAGAGCACAACACUCUCACAACCAAGAGCCACAGCUCUAAGUAACAGACACUCUGACCUCUAAGAUCCGGCACUUGCCGAUCAACGAACCGAGUUACCCUAGGGAUAACAGCGCAAUUCCCUUCUAGAGCCCAUAUCGACAAGGGGGUUUACGACCUCGAUGUUGGAUCAGGACAUCCUAAUGGUGCAGCCGCUAUUAAGGG